AUUGAACGCUGGCGGCAUGCCUAACACAUGCAAGUCGAACGGCAGCACAGCAGUAGCAAUACUGUGGGUGGCGAGUGGCGGACGGGUGAGGAAUACGUCGGAAUCUGCCCAGUCGUGGGGGAUAACUAGCCGAAAGGUUAGCUAAUACCGCAUACGACCGAGAGGUGAAAGCGGGGGACCGCAAGGCCUCGCGCGAUUGGAUGAGCCGACGUCGGAUUAGCUAGUUGGUGGGGUAAAGGCCCACCAAGGCGACGAUCCGUAGCUGGUCUGAGAGGAUGAUCAGCCACACUGGAACUGAGACACGGUCCAGACUCCUACGGGAGGCAGCAGUGGGGAAUAUUGGACAAUGGGCGCAAGCCUGAUCCAGCAAUGCCGCGUGUGUGAAGAAGGCCU
RNAcentral lists this ribosomal RNA (393 nucleotides) under uncultured bacterium. RNAcentral's name for it is "bacterial SSU rRNA". It matches the Rfam family "Bacterial small subunit ribosomal RNA", at positions 29 to 417 of the family's 1533-position model. The record is from RNAcentral.